UACGUAGGGGGCUAGCGUUGUCCGGAAUCAUUGGGCGUAAAGAGCUCGUAGGCGGUUUGUCGCGUCGAAUGUGAAAACCCGGGGCUCAACCCCGGGCCUGCAUUCGAUACGGGCAGACUAGAGUUCGGUAGGGGAGUCUGGAAUUCCUGGUGUAGCGGUGAAAUGCGCAGAUAUCAGGAGGAACACCGGUGGCGAAGGCGGGACUCUGGGCCGAUACUGACGCUGAGGAGCGAAAGCGUGGGGAGCAAACAGG
RNAcentral lists this ribosomal RNA (253 nucleotides) under uncultured bacterium. RNAcentral's name for it is "partial 16S ribosomal RNA". It matches the Rfam family "Bacterial small subunit ribosomal RNA", at positions 524 to 776 of the family's 1533-position model. The record is from RNAcentral.